This 201-nucleotide unclassified non-coding RNA is filed under the name Hevea brasiliensis (rubber tree). Lineage: Eukaryota; Viridiplantae; Streptophyta; Magnoliopsida; Malpighiales; Euphorbiaceae. The record is from RNAcentral.
GUCACAGACUCGGAUGACAAAAAACAAAACGCAGUUUGCCAGGAGAGAUACAAGAGACGAGAUAGUGAGGAUUUCAGAAAAGCUUAUGAUCUGGACAUUGAAAGGGAAGAUGAAUGUGGAAUUUGCAUGGAGGUGAACAGCAAAAUUAUCCUUCCCAACUGCAAUCAUAUAAUGUGCUUGAAAUGCUAUCGUGAAUGGCGU